CUAUUUUAUGUUUUAGGGAAAUUUUGAUGUGUUUAUGAAGUGUGCAGGACCAGAAGUGUUGUAAACAGGAAAAUUGGGAGCAUUUAAACUACUGGAAAGUUGCGACGGUACACUUUAUGGACCGCCAAACUACUGACGAACCGCCAUACUCAACCAUCAAAACUAAGAAGGAAAAUAUAUUCACUGGAUAGGGCAUGACAGCAUGAGUGGAGGACCAUCAAGUAUAUGGUGGACCGUCAAAGUAGUCGUUAGAAGAGAGACUACUGACCUGCAUUCUGGUAAGUAGUGACGGCUAAUUCGGUGGACCAUCACGACUAUGGUUGGCUGUCCCAUUAACCGUCAUACCAAAAAUAGAAACUCAUUGACUCAGCUAAGGGGUAACGUUCCCAGUGGUGGUCCGUCACACUUGUGACGGACCGUCAAUUCGACCGUCACUUUAACCCUAAUUCUGAAUCGGGUUGGGUUAAAUCAGUACUCUUUAUAAGUACUCCGUAUUUGACGUGGAAUAAGAUUUUAAGAGUAAAAUUGAGCAGGUACACUCAUUGUAACUGUUCCAUGACCUUUGAUUUUUCCACUUCUCCAAGAUUCAAAGAACCUGAACUAAGCUAUCCUAUUUGAGACUCCUCCACUCCUCCAUCACUUUUCUACUUAAGUUAGGUCAUUCUUUCCCUAUCCCCAUCACAAACUAAAGAGAAACAGAAGUGACAAAAGUUGCAAGUAGUUCACUCACUGAAGUCUCAAGCAAGUAGAAUACUACAAUAUCAAAGUAUGAGCAUUUACUUCUUUCCUCUUGUUCAUUUGAAAAGUAAGGGCAUGGAUUGUUUCAUGAUUUGCUAUAAUGGUGUUGAGUUGGAAUGGUUUAUGCUUAAGUGUUAUUUAGUAGAUGAAUUAUUUAUUAAAAUAUGGUUUUAAUGCUAUUGCUCAAGCUAAAAAUUGAUUUGAUCUUAAGCUGCGCUGAAAAUCAGUCGAACCCAUAAAUGUGCCUAAGGAUGAAGGUCUAACCGUUAACAUGGUGGACCGUCAACUUUGUGAUGGACCACCAAGUUGACUGUCCCCAAGGUCAAACACAAUGAGCUUCUGGAUUGUAUUUGACGGUCAUACUGGUGGACCAUCAAGUUUUCGAUGGACCACCAAGUUGACGGUCCCAAAAGUCAAAAAAUGAAACAUACUGGAUAAAGCUAACGGUGGAUCUGACGGAUCGUCCCACCACUGAUGGACCAUCAAAUCUCUCGUCAGGCGUCACUGUGAACUAUUUUUCCCUUUGUUUUACCUUGCACUGAUUUCUUAAUCCAUUUUCAGGUGACAUGGCUCCUAAAAAUACACAAACCAAGGGAGGAAAAUCUCAGCGAGGUAGAAACACAUCCUCACCAGCCUAAUCAUUAACUAUGUCUAGCCCAUUGUGAGGUAGUAACUAUGACUCUCUUAAGGUAUCCAAAUACCUCGUCAUCUAAUCAUUUAUGAGUUUGUAUGGAUUAACGAGAUUCUCACUAUUCCUGUCUACUAUCCAGCGAAAGUACAGCCAAGGGAACGAGAUUGGUAGAAUUAGCGGGGAAAGAAGACCCUGUUGAGCUUGACUGUAGUUCGACUUUGUGAAAUGACUUGAGAGGUGUAGUAUAAGGGGGAUACGAAAGGGAAAAGUGAAAUACCACUACUUAUAAUGUUAUUUUACUUAUUUUGUGAAUCAAAAGUGAGGCACUACCCCUCUUUUUUAACCCAAGGCUCGCUCUGCAUGCUAAUCCAGGAAGAAGAUAUUGUUAGGCAGGGAGUUUGGCUGAGGUGGCAUAUCUGCUAAAAGAUAAUACAGGUGUCCUAAGAUAAGCUCAACAAGAACAAAAAUAUCUUGUGGAACAGAAGGUUAAAAGCUCGUUUGAUUCUGAUUUACAGUACGAAUAUGAACCAUGAAAGUGUGGCCAAAUGAUCCUUUACACCUUCAUAAUUCGAAGCUUGAAGUGUCAAAAAUGUUACUAUAGGGAUAACUGGAUUUUUGAAGCCAAGCGUUCAUAGCGACGUUGCUUUUUGUUCCUUUGAUGUCGGCUCUUCCUUUCAUUGUGAAUCAGAAUUCACCAAGUGUUGGAUUGUUCACCCACCAAUAAGGAACGUGAGCUGGGUUUAGAUCAUCGUGAGAUAGAUUAGGUUUACCCUAUUAAUGAAAGUCUCUUAAUAUUAAUUCAACCUAGUAUGAUAGGAACCGUUGAUUCGCAUAAUUAGUCAACGCGCUUAGUUAAAAUGCAAGUGGCGCAAAAAUACCGUGUGCUGGAUUAUGACUGAAUGCCUCUAUUUAAGAAUCCAGGCUAGAAGCAACACAUGCGCCCUUCGUCCAUUUGUCGACAUGCAGUAGGGGCCUCGGCGCCUAAUGGUAUGUGUCGUUGGAUAAGCCAUUGUGGUGAAAAGUUCGCGGUGGCCGCCUUUAAGUACAAUUUUCAUCGAGUGGCAAGUAGAAUCCUUUGCAGAUGACUUAAAUACCCGACCGGGUAUUGUAAGUAGCUGAGUGGCCUUGCUUUCAUAAUCUACAGAGAUUUCGCCCU
Molecule: ribosomal RNA, 2525 nt
Filed under: Capsicum annuum
Lineage: Eukaryota; Viridiplantae; Streptophyta; Magnoliopsida; Solanales; Solanaceae
Description: eukaryotic LSU rRNA
Rfam family: Eukaryotic large subunit ribosomal RNA (bases 1122-2525)
Source: RNAcentral